AAAGAAAUACACAAAUGUAAACAACUGAAUCAUGUGAUUGUCUGUUUAAUGUGGUUUCAGUGUGUUCUAGAUGUCAUUAGUGCGGUGGUUUGUGGUUGAUAGACGUAAACAGAUG
Sphaeramia orbicularis (orbiculate cardinalfish) is the source of this 115-nucleotide long non-coding RNA. RefSeq lists it as uncharacterized. The record is from RefSeq and is a predicted model, not a curated record. The transcript is spliced from 3 exons. Lineage: Eukaryota; Metazoa; Chordata; Actinopteri; Kurtiformes; Apogonidae.